UACAGAGGGUGCAAGCGUUGUUCGGAAUUAUUGGGCGUAAAGGGAGUGUAGGCGGUUAUUUAAGUCUUCUGUGAAAUCUACGGGCUCAGCCUGUAACGUGCAGAGGAAACUGGGUGACUUGAGUGUCGGAGAGGAUAGUGGAAUUCCAGGUGUAGAGGUGAAAUUCGUAGAGAUCUGGAGGAACACCAGUGGCGAAGGCGACUAUCUGGCUGACAACUGACGCUGAGACUCGAAAGCAUGGGGAGCAAACAGG
RNAcentral lists this ribosomal RNA (253 nucleotides) under uncultured bacterium. RNAcentral's name for it is "partial 16S ribosomal RNA". It matches the Rfam family "Bacterial small subunit ribosomal RNA", at positions 524 to 776 of the family's 1533-position model. The record is from RNAcentral.